Hyla sarda is the source of this 459-nucleotide long non-coding RNA. RefSeq lists it as uncharacterized. The record is from RefSeq and is a predicted model, not a curated record. The transcript is spliced from 3 exons. NCBI's taxonomy places the organism in Eukaryota, Metazoa, Chordata, Amphibia, Anura, Hylidae.
UUCAAAAGUGGUUGAACUUUAUUGAUUGUACUUUUAGCGAGUCGUAUAUCCGUGAUGGUUGUGAGUACCGUAUCCUGCUGGAAGGACUGUGGUCGGCUUACAUGGUGAUGAAAGAAAACGUGACAAUGUAGCCCUGAAGUUACGAAAACAGGAUUAUCUCUUCCUGCAUCUUAUUUAUUGUGCAUCCAAACAAUGGCUUCCAUUCUUGUGUACGGGAGUCAGCCGCAGUCACUGACUGAGCAGCAUUCCAUCAUCUUGCUCACCAUUACUCUUGGAUCACAGUCCUCCUCCGGUUUCAUCUAUGGGUCACACACUCAGAUCCGCAGGAGGUUAUGAAUGAUACUCGAAGACAUUUAGAUGAAUAUCCUACACACAUAUUCAUGGCUGAGAUACGCCAAAUAACUAGACUGCUAUCCUGCACUUUGAAUUCUUCGUACAUUACUGGACCACAUUAAAACU